Molecule: ribosomal RNA, 326 nt
Filed under: uncultured bacterium
Lineage: Bacteria
Description: bacterial SSU rRNA
Rfam family: Bacterial small subunit ribosomal RNA
Source: RNAcentral
AUUGAACGCUGGCGGCAUGCCUUACACAUGCAAGUCGAACGGCAGCGCGGGGGCAACCCUGGCGGCGAGUGGCGAACGGGUGAGUAAUAUAUCGGAACGUACCCAAGAGUGGGGGAUAACUAGCGAAAGUUACGCUAAUACCGCAUACGAUCUAAGGAUGAAAGCAGGGGACCGCAAGGCCUUGUGCUCCUGGAGCGGCCGAUAUCUGAUUAGCUAGUUGGUGGGGUAAAGGCCCUACCCAAAGGCAUCGAUCAGUAGCUGGUCUGAGAGGACGACCAGCCACACUGGGACUGAGACACGGCCCAGCUCCUACGGGAGGCAGCAGU